RNAcentral lists this ribosomal RNA (253 nucleotides) under uncultured bacterium. Its description in RNAcentral is "partial 16S ribosomal RNA". It matches the Rfam family "Bacterial small subunit ribosomal RNA", at positions 524 to 776 of the family's 1533-position model. The record is from RNAcentral.
UACGUAGGGUGCAAGCGUUGUCCGGAAUUAUUGGGCGUAAAGGGCUCGUAGGCGGUCCGUCACGUCGGCUGUGAAAACCCGGGGCUCAACCCCGGGCCUGCAGUCGAUACGGGCGGACUAGAAUUCGGUAGGGGAGACUGGAAUUCCUGGUGUAGCGGUGAAAUGCGCAGAUAUCAGGAGGAACACCGGUGGCGAAGGCGGGUCUCUGGGCCGAUAUUGACGCUGAGGAGCGAAAGCGUGGGGAGCGAACAGG